CGGCAGGCUUAAUACAUGCAAGUCGAGGGGCAGCAGGACGGUAGCAAUACCGUUGCUGGCGACCGGCAAACGGGUGCGGAACACGUACGCAACUUACCCAUAACUGGGGGAUAGCCCGGGGAAACCCGGAUUAAUACCUCGUAACAUUAUGAAGUGGCAUCACUUUAUAAUUAAAGCUCAGGCGGUUGAAGAUGAGCGUGCGCCUGAUUAGCUAGUUGGCGGGGUAACGGCCCACCAAGGCAACGAUCAGUAACUGGCGUGAGAGCGCGACCAGUCACACGGGCACUGAGACACGGGCCCGACUCCUACGGGAGGCAGCAGUAGGGAAUAUUGGUCAAUGGAGGCAACUCUGAACCAGCCAUGCCGCGUGCAGGAUGAAGGCCCUCUGGGUUGUAAACUGCUUUUAUCAGGGAAGAAACCACCGGAUUCAUCUGGUGUUGACGGUACCUGAGGAAUAAGCACCGGCUAACUCCGUGCCAGCAGCCGCGGUAAUACGGAGGGUGCAAGCGUUAUCCGGAUUCACUGGGUUUAAAGGGUGCGUAGGUGGAAUUAUAAGUCAGUGGUGAAAGCCCCGGGCUCAACUCGGGAAUUGCCAUUGAUACUGUUUUUCUUGAGUACGAUUGAGGUGAGUAGAAUAUGUCAUGUAGUGGUGAAAUACUUAGAUAUGACAUAGAAUACCGAUUGCGAAGGCAGCUCACUAAAUCGUAACUGACGCUGAGGCACGAAAGCGUGGGGAUCAAACAGGAUUAGAUACCCUGGUAGUCCACGCCCUAAACGAUGAUUACUCGACAUUGGCGAUA
This 800-nucleotide ribosomal RNA is filed under the name uncultured soil bacterium. Its description in RNAcentral is "bacterial SSU rRNA". It matches the Rfam family "Bacterial small subunit ribosomal RNA", at positions 40 to 831 of the family's 1533-position model. The record is from RNAcentral.